UACGGAGGAUCCAAGCGUUAUCCGGAAUCAUUGGGUUUAAAGGGUCCGUAGGCGGUUUGGUAAGUCAGUGGUGAAAGCCCAUCGCUCAACGGUGGAACGGCCAUUGAUACUGCCAGACUUGAAUUAUUAGGGAAGUAACUAGAAUAUGUAGUGUAGCGGUGGAAAUGACUUAGAGAUUACAAUGGAAUACCAAUUGACGAAGG
RNAcentral lists this ribosomal RNA (203 nucleotides) under uncultured bacterium. Its description in RNAcentral is "partial 16S ribosomal RNA". It matches the Rfam family "Bacterial small subunit ribosomal RNA", at positions 524 to 721 of the family's 1533-position model. The record is from RNAcentral.